UUACUGGCAAGGCGCAUACAAUCGACGUUGACCUGCAUCAGUACUGGGCAACUGUGGCACCUCUGGAGCCUGGGUCAGAACUGCCUGCGCUGAAUGCCAGCACCUACGUGCGCGCCGGCACUACCUUGGUGAAACGCGUGAAGGUCCCACAGCCACAGGGCGUGCUGCUAUCGUCGACGCGACUGACAGGUAUCAAUGGCACAAGCGCCUGCAAUUCGGAUCGCAAGACGUGUGUCGCAAUGCAGGUCAGGACCGGCGAGGACGCCGUUGUCUUCUUUCUCAAUCACCAGGUCAACCACGGCCUGGUGCGCUUGUCGGGGCCCCGCUGCAGGCCGCAAACUGACGCACGAGUUGUUCGGGCUCACGAAACGACCAGCCAACUGCUUCCUCUCUUUGCACUGCUGCCGGACGCGGCAUCGAGAUCGACUGAAUGGUCU
This 437-nucleotide ribosomal RNA is filed under the name uncultured eukaryote. Its description in RNAcentral is "partial small subunit ribosomal RNA". The record is from RNAcentral.